GGUGACCUUGAGUCCCUCCUUUGCUGUGAGAGCUCAACAGAUAUUCUGCUGAAUAGAGCAGAAAUAAAGCUCCUCGUGCUUGCUGCCAAGUUGCUACACUAGAAGAUCAGCUCUUCAGUGUGGCCAGAGACUUUGUAUACCAGCUUGAACAUCUGGAAGUCACAGUUCACGUACUGUUGAAUCCUGGCUUGGAGAAUUUUGAGCAUUACUUUACUAGCGUGUGAUCAGAUCAGAUCAGUCACUCAGUUGUGUCCGACUCUUUGCGACCCCAUGAAUCGAAGCACGCCAGGUCUCCCUGUCCAUCACCAACUCCCGGAGUUCACUGAGACUCACGUCCAUUGAGUCAGCGAUGCCAUCCAUCGUGUGAGAUGAGUACAAUUCUGCACUCCAAGGCCAAAUUUGCCUGUUACUCCAGGUGGAUUCUUUACCACUGAGCCACCAGAGAAGUUCCUGGUGUGUGGAUCACAACAAACUAUGGAAAAUUCUUAAAGAGGUGGAAAUACCAGACCACCUUACCUGCCUCCUGAGAAACCUGUAUGUAGGUCAAGAAGCAACAGUUAGAACUGAACAUGGAACAACUGUCUGGUUUAAAAUUGACAAAGGAGUAUGACAAGGCUGUAUGUUGUCACCUGCUUAUUUAAACUCUAUGCAGAGUACAUCAGGCAAAAUGCCAGGCUGGAUGAAUUACAAGCUGGAAUAAAGAUUGCUAGGAGAAAUAUUAACAACAUCUCAGAUUUUCAGAUGAUACCACCCUAAUAGCAGAAAGCGAAGAGGAACUAAAGAGCCUCUUGAUGAAGGUCAAAGAGGAGAAUGAAAAAAACUGGCCUAAAGCUCAACAUUCAAAAAACUAAGAUCAUAGCAUCCAUUCCCAUCACUUCUUGGCAAACAGAAGGGGAAAAGUGGAAGCAGUGAUGGAUUUUAUUUUCUUGGGCUCCUAAAUCAUUACGGAUGGUGACUGCAAUCAUGAAAUUAAAAGAUGCUUGCUCCUUGGAAGAAAAGUUAUGACAGACCUAGACAGUGUAUUAAAAAGCAGAAACAUCACUCUGCCUACAAAGUUCUGUAUAGUCAAAGCUGUGGUUUUUCCAGUAGUCACAUAUGGAUGUGAGAGUUGGACCAUAAAGAAAGCUGACUUCCAAAGAACUGAUGCUUUUGAACUGUGGUGUUGGAGAAGACUCUUGAGAGUCCCUUGGACUGCAAGGAGAUCUGCCCAGUUGAUCCUAAAGGAAAUCAACCCUGAAUAUUCAUUGGAGGAACUGAGGCUGAAGUGAAACUGCAGUACUUUGGCCACCUGCUGUGACAAGCUGACUUAUUGGAAAGACACUAAUGCUGGGAAAGAUUGAGGGCAGAAGGAGAAGAGGGCAGCAGAGACUGAGAUGCUUAGAUAGCAUCACCAGUUUAAUGGACAUGAAUGUGAGCAAACUCCAGGAGAUACUGAAGGACAGGGGGGCAUGGCAGCGAUCUUUCAUUAAUUUAACCUUACCAAAUGUAAUUCCCAAGUACAGAACAGUCCAGGGGUUUUCCUUAGAGUAGCACAUUGUCAACAGAUGAGGUGGAAUAAGAAUUGGUGUUAGAUCAGCCCAACUUAGGCCCGCAGGGACCUUCUGAGAAUAAUUUGGGCCUAACUUAGGACUUCUGGGAUUGCUGAUGGGAAAUCUUUCAACUUUACUAAGGAGUUGGGCUAGCAGAGUUUUGACACCUGCAGGUGAGUCCUAGAGGCUCCAAAUAGGCAAUAUUAUGCUGCUCUGAAAUUCUGAAACUAUUUGGCCCUCUCUAUUAAAGAAGGAAACAUUAUAGAUC
Molecule: long non-coding RNA, 1797 nt
Organism: Bos taurus (domestic cattle)
Lineage: Eukaryota; Metazoa; Chordata; Mammalia; Artiodactyla; Bovidae
Source: Ensembl